RNA transcript from Myotis myotis, 3183 nucleotides. It is a transcript of the gene named paraspeckle component 1, with no coding region annotated. NCBI's taxonomy places the organism in Eukaryota, Metazoa, Chordata, Mammalia, Chiroptera, Vespertilionidae. The record is from RefSeq and is a predicted model, not a curated record. The transcript is spliced from 15 exons.
UGGAGGCAGCGCCAUUUUGAACGUGCAGCGGUCGCGGGCAUUAGGUGGGUGGGAAAGGCCUGCUGGUUGCCGGAGUGGCGACCUCCUCGUCUUCUCUGGCUUUCUCCUUCACAGUACAGUCUCCGUGGGGAGGCACGGAGCCAUAGACACAUCUCUAAGGUUGCUUCCCGGCCCGAGGUGAAGCCCUCUGAUGAUGUUAAGGGGAAAUCUGAAGCAAGUUCGCAUUGAGAAAAACCCGGCCCGCCUGCGUGCUCUCGAAUCGGCGACGGGCGAGAGCGAGCCUGCGGCCGCCAUGGCCCUCUCACUGGCUGGGGAGCCGGCGCCCCCCGCUUCCGUACCCGCGGAGGAGCGCCCGGAGGAGGAGGUGGGCUUCACCAUCGACAUCAAGAGCUUCCUCAAGCCGGGCGAGAAGACGUACACGCAGCGCUGCCGCCUCUUUGUGGGCAACCUGCCCACGGACAUCACGGAGGAGGACUUCAAGCGGCUCUUCGAGCGCUACGGCGAGCCCAGCGAGGUCUUCAUCAACCGCGACCGCGGUUUCGGCUUCAUCCGCCUGGAAUCCAGAACACUGGCUGAAAUUGCAAAAGCAGAGCUGGAUGGCACCAUUUUGAAGAGCAGACCUCUCCGAAUUCGUUUUGCUACACAUGGAGCAGCCCUGACUGUCAAGAACCUUUCUCCAGUUGUUUCCAAUGAGCUUCUAGAGCAAGCAUUUUCCCAGUUUGGUCCAGUAGAGAAAGCGGUUGUGGUUGUGGAUGAUCGCGGUAGAGCUACUGGAAAAGGUUUUGUAGAAUUUGCAGCGAAACCUCCUGCACGAAAGGCUCUGGAAAGAUGUGGUGAUGGGGCAUUCUUGCUAACAACGACCCCACGUCCUGUCAUUGUGGAGCCAAUGGAGCAGUUUGAUGAUGAAGAUGGCUUGCCAGAGAAGCUAAUGCAGAAAACUCAACAAUAUCAUAAGGAAAGAGAACAGCCACCACGUUUUGCUCAGCCUGGGACAUUUGAAUUUGAGUAUGCAUCUAGAUGGAAGGCUCUUGACGAAAUGGAGAAGCAGCAGCGUGAGCAGGUCGACAGAAACAUUAGAGAAGCCAAAGAGAAGCUGGAGGCAGAAAUGGAAGCAGCCAGGCAUGAGCACCAGUUGAUGUUGAUGAGACAAGAUUUAAUGAGGCGUCAAGAAGAACUCAGACGCCUGGAAGAACUCAGAAACCAAGAGCUGCAAAAACGGAAGCAGAUACAACUGAGACAUGAAGAAGAGCAUCGUCGUCGUGAGGAAGAAAUGAUUCGACACAGAGAACAGGAGGAACUGAGGCGACAGCAAGAGGGCUUUAAGCCAAAUUAUAUGGAAAAUAGAGAACAGGAAAUGAGAAUGGGUGAUAUGGGUCCCCGUGGAGCAAUAAACAUGGGAGAUGGGUUUAGCCCAGCACCUGCUGGUAACCAAGGUCCUCCUCCAAUGAUGGGUAUGAAUAUGAACAACAGAGGAACUAUACCUGGCCCACCAAUGGGUCCUGGUCCUGCCAUGGGACCAGAAGGAGCUGCAAAUAUGGGAACUCCAAUGAUGCCAGAUAAUGGAGCAGUGUUUUGCUAAACUUGGCUGUAACAGUAAUACUUUGGUUGCUUUAACUAAUCCCAGCCAUUUAAAAAUGAAAAUGGAUUUCCUGCUUUUUAGUUUGUGCAAGUAGCACUGAAGAUAGCAGCUAGUGAAAGGUUGAGAACCGCUGAAAUAGAAAAUGCGAAUAGAAAAUAAAGAUAACUGUAAACAUUUGAUUGCUGCCAUAUAGCCACUAGGGGGAGCCUAAACUCCACAGGACCAAGGAGAAUGAAAUAACACAUGGAUGAAGCUACCUGAAAUCCUACUUCCAGCAUGAAUCAAGUUUAGAGAUGAUAUCCUGAAGUCAUUUAUUUUCAGGGAGUCUGGCCAAAGAGGAAUGCAUCCCAUUUGUGAUGACCUGCUUAGUCAUGAGAUCACCUGUGGUUGAAAUAAUAAGCUCAGCAUCCCAGGAAUCGCUCCAUGUAUCAUGCAAACCAGGAAGGCUGGUCGACCUACUUGCAGGCUAUCUGGAUCUGUUAUCCAUGUGAACAAACUGAGAUGAGCUGGCUUCCCAGGAUUCCGUGUAGCCAUAAAUGCUGAUCUCCUACACCUGGAAAUGGAGUUACCAUCUUGCAGACAUGAAGACCCAAGUCAGAUUCUAACUAUGGUGGAUGAGAGAGGCUAUUCCUGCCUAAACUGCCUACCUCUAUACUUGGUUAUAUGAAUAAUAAACACCUUACUUGUGUUAGCUACUGUCUGUGACGUUCCUGUUACGUGUUGCCAAAGUAAAUGUCUUAGAAUUCUUCUGAAAAAGAAUGGGUAAACUGUGAAGCAUCUAUACAAUGGAAUGAUCCAGCAUUAAAAAGAAAUGAGCUAUAAAGCCAGGAAAAGACAUGAAGGACAUUUAAAUGCAUAUCAGAGCAGGAAUUCCUGUACGACUAUGAAAUGGCUGCACUGUGAGUGACCAACCUUUUCAGCUGCAUGAAUGAGUGCGGUGGUCCCAUUCUUCUGUCUGCCAUUCACUUUGGCUCCCUUUCUGAUGAGAAGCCUCAGUAGAUCGUCCUGACCUCCAGCUGCAGCAAGCAUCACCAGUGUCAUCCCACUUGAAUCCUUCAUUAGUUUUGUGUAAGGAAAAAUGUCAAUGUUUAAUCAUAAAAAUUGUAUAACUAAGUUCUUUUCAUCUAGACUGUUUCAACGUGAAAUUAUUAAAGUACAUUGAUUUAAGCAUCUACUUAAUUUUUUUCACUAAAAUAUCUUAAUAAAAAAUAAAAAACUAAUAACCUUUGGAAUUUUAUAUAUAUAAAUGUUACUAUGGGAACCUUAAUCAGAGUACACUGGAUGUUCAAGGCCAAUCUAAGCCAGGACAUAGCAAUCUUACUGUAUGCAGUGAGCAGGUGUACCUUUCUGAGGCCCAAAUAUUGAUGUCACUAUUUGGCAAGAAGCCUCUUUUGUCUAAGUUGGUAUAAAAAUGUAUUACUAACCAGGUGGUACAAGGCUGUUUUUAUGUAAAGGCUGCUUUUAUGUAGAGCUGGGCUGCUGUGUGUGCAAUGGCUCCUAUGUUUGCUUAGGUUGCUUUGUGCAGCUACUGCUUAGUAAGCUACUUUGAAGAACUGCUUUGUCUAAUGGCUACUUGGUCUGCAAUAAAGACUCUCUCUUAUACG